Molecule: long non-coding RNA, 337 nt
Filed under: Phaseolus vulgaris (common bean)
Lineage: Eukaryota; Viridiplantae; Streptophyta; Magnoliopsida; Fabales; Fabaceae
Description: long non-coding RNA (PVUL_LNC001110)
Source: RNAcentral
UCCGCACCUGCUCUUUGCUCAUUACUUUGAUCGCCACGCUCUCGCCCGUGCUUAUUUGCUUCCCGUAAUACACUUUGGCAAACGUCCCCUUACCGAGAAGCCUCCCCAUCUCGUACUUUCCGAACACCGUGUGACACUCUUCCAUUGAGUCACUCACUGAUAAUCACUCACAGACUCACUUUUUCUUCUUCCUUUUCAGGUGCUGUACGGUGGAUUGUGAAACCCCAUUUUUUUUUUUUUCUUUCAAGAGGAUUCUGAGAAAAAGUUUUGUUAAAAAAAUGUUUGGAGGAGAGAAGCACUUAUAAGAGAGUGAUGAUGGUUAAGUGGUUUGGUUUUA